This 175-nucleotide non-coding RNA is filed under the name Candidatus Scalindua sp. RNAcentral's name for it is "6S RNA". It matches the Rfam family "6S / SsrS RNA". From Rfam's summary of the family: E. coli 6S RNA was the first non coding RNA to be sequenced, but its function was unknown until recently. It consists of 184 nucleotides that fold into an extended hairpin structure with a large single-stranded internal bulge. RNAcentral also lists the same sequence under 1 other name. The record is from RNAcentral. Lineage: Bacteria; Pseudomonadati; Planctomycetota; Candidatus Brocadiia; Candidatus Brocadiales; Candidatus Scalinduaceae.
AAGGCUCUGCAGUGUUCGUGUAGGAGUUGAUAUCUUUGUAACCUAGAAGUGUUAUCCGGGAACUUAUAUUUGUCUUCUCUCGUCUUUACGUACAGUAAAGAGAGGCUGACAAUCGGUGCCCCCCUUGAAAAAGGGUCACAAGAUAGCUCUUCUCACGGCACAAGGUGGAGCCUUU